This 486-nucleotide ribosomal RNA is filed under the name uncultured bacterium. RNAcentral's name for it is "partial 16S ribosomal RNA". It matches the Rfam family "Bacterial small subunit ribosomal RNA", at positions 30 to 507 of the family's 1533-position model. The record is from RNAcentral.
AUUGAACGCUGGCGGCAUGCCUUACACAUGCAAGUCGAACGGCAGCACGGGUGCUUGCUCCUGGUGGCGAGUGGCGAACGGGUGAGUAAUACAUCGGAACAUGUCCUGUAGUGGGGGAUAGCCCGGCGAAAGCCGGAUUAAUACCGCAUACGAUCUACGGAUGAAAGCGGGGGACCUUGGGGCCUCGCGCUAUAGGGUUGGCCGAUGGCGGAUUAGCUAGUUGGUGGGGUAAAGGCCUACCAAGGCGACGAUCAGUAGCUGGUCUGAGAGGACGACCAGCCACACUGGGACUGAGACACGGCCCAGACUCCUACGGGAGGCAGCAGUGGGGAAUUUUGGACAAUGGGCGAAAGCCUGAUCCAGCAAUGCCGCGUGUGUGAAGAAGGCCUUCGGGUUGUAAAGCACUUUUGUCCGGAAAGAAAUCCUUGGCCCUAAUACGGUCGGGGGAUGACGGUACCGGAAGAAUAAGCACCGGCUAACUACGUG